RNAcentral lists this ribosomal RNA (324 nucleotides) under uncultured eukaryote. RNAcentral's name for it is "partial 18S ribosomal RNA". It matches the Rfam family "Eukaryotic small subunit ribosomal RNA", at positions 1470 to 1796 of the family's 1831-position model. The record is from RNAcentral.
CCCUUAGAUGUUCUGGGCCGCACGCGCGCUACACUGAUGCAUUCAACGAGUUUCUUCCUGGUCCGAGUGGAAUGGGUAACCUUUUGAAAGUGCAUCGUGAUAGGGAUAGACUAUUGCAAUUAUUGGUCUUCAACGAGGAAUUCCUAGUAGACGUAGUUCAUCAGACUGCAUCGAUUACGUCCCUGCCCUUUGUACACACCGCCCGUCGCUCCUACCGAUUGAAUGCUCAGGUGAGCCAUUCGGACUUUCAUCAUGCUGGUUUCCAGUUUUGAUGAAGGAAAGUCUUGCGAACCUUAUCAUUUAGAGGAAGGAGAAGUCGUAACA